GACGAACGCUGGCGGCGUGCUUAACACAUGCAAGUCGAACGGAAAGGCCCUGCUUUUGUGGGGUGCUCGAGUGGCGAACGGGUGAGUAACACGUGAGUAACCUGCCCUUGACUUUGGGAUAACUUCAGGAAACUGGGGCUAAUACCGGAUAGGAGCUCCUGCUGCAUGGUGGGGGUUGGAAAGUUUCGGCGGUUGGGGAUGGACUCGCGGCUUAUCAGCUUGUUGGUGGGGUAGUGGCUUACCAAGGCUUUGACGGGUAGCCGGCCUGAGAGGGUGACCGGCCACAUUGGGACUGAGAUACGGCCCAGACUCCUACGGGAGGCAGCAGUGGGGAAUAUUGCACAAUGGGCGGAAGCCUGAUGCAGCAACGCCGCGUGCGGGAUGAAGGCCUUCGGGUUGUAAACCGCUUUCGCCUGUGACGAAGCGUGAGUGACGGUAAUGGGUAAGGAAGCACCGGCUAACUACGUG
RNAcentral lists this ribosomal RNA (468 nucleotides) under uncultured bacterium. RNAcentral describes it as "partial 16S ribosomal RNA". It matches the Rfam family "Bacterial small subunit ribosomal RNA", at positions 28 to 507 of the family's 1533-position model. The record is from RNAcentral.